GACGAACGCUGGCGGCGUGCCUAAUACAUGCAAGUCGAGCGGCCUUUCAAGAAGCUUGCUUUUUGAAAGUUAGCGGCGGACGGGUGAGUAACACGUGGGCAACCUGCCUGCAAGACGGGGAUAACUCCGGGAAACCGGGGCUAAUACCGGAUAAUAUCUUCCUUCGCAUGAAGGAAGGGUGAAAGGCGGCGCAAGCUGCCGCUUGCAGAUGGGCCCGCGGCGCAUUUGCUAGUUGGAGAGGCAACGGCUCACCAAGGCGACGAUGCGUAGCCGACCUUGGAAGGUGAUCGGCCAACCUGGGAACGAGACACGGCCCAGACUCCUACGGGAGGCAGCAGUAGGGAAUCUUCCGCAAUGGACGAAAGUCUGACGGAGCAACGCCGCGUGAGCGGAGAAGGUCUUCGGAUCGUAAAGCUCUGUUGUCAGGGAAGAACAAGUACCGUUCGAACAGGGCGGUACCUUGACGGUACCUGACCAGAAAGCCACGGCUAACUACGUG
This 499-nucleotide ribosomal RNA is filed under the name uncultured bacterium. Its description in RNAcentral is "partial 16S ribosomal RNA". It matches the Rfam family "Bacterial small subunit ribosomal RNA", at positions 28 to 507 of the family's 1533-position model. The record is from RNAcentral.